UUCCUUUAAUCGUCAACCCGGAGCCCCAGGGCGGCUAAUGCAAGAGGCCAAAAAUGUUUGGAGGAAGAAAAACAAAGGCAGGAAGUGGCGGCUGCCUGACGGUGCGUGUGUGUCUGCAAAGAAGGGAGGGAGCCAGUUCAAUCUCUUGUUUUUCUGAACUUCAAGGUCUAGGCAG
This is an unclassified non-coding RNA of Cavia aperea (Brazilian guinea pig), 175 nucleotides long. Lineage: Eukaryota; Metazoa; Chordata; Mammalia; Rodentia; Caviidae. The record is from Ensembl.